GACGAACGCUGGCGGCGUGCUUAACACAUGCAAGUCGAACGGAAAGGCCCUGCUUUUGUGGGGUGCUCGAGUGGCGAACGGGUGAGUAACACGUGAGUAACCUGCCCUUGACUUUGGGAUAACUUCAGGAAACUGGGGCUAAUACCGGAUAGGAGCUCCUGCUGCACGGUGGGGGUUGGAAAGUUUCGGCGGUGGGGGAUGGACUCGCGGCUUAUCAGCUUGUUGGUGGGGUAGUGGCUUACCAAGGCUUUGACGGGUAGCCGGCCUGAGAGGGUGACCGGCCACAUUGGGACUGAGAUACGGCCCAGACUCCUACGGGAGGCAGCAGUGGGGAAUAUUGCACAAAGGGCGGAAGCCUGAUGCAGCAACGCCGCGUGCUGGAUGACUGCCUUCGGGUUGUAAACCGCUUUCGCCUGUGACGAAGCGUGAGUGACGGUAAUGGGUAAAGAAGCGCCGGCUAACUACGUG
This 468-nucleotide ribosomal RNA is filed under the name uncultured bacterium. RNAcentral describes it as "partial 16S ribosomal RNA". It matches the Rfam family "Bacterial small subunit ribosomal RNA", at positions 28 to 507 of the family's 1533-position model. The record is from RNAcentral.